UUUCAGUCAGUGUCUGGUAAAUAUGGUUCAGUACUGGGAAUGUUCCCUACGUUUCAGUCACUGUCUGGUAAAUAUGAUUCAGUACUGGGAAUGUUCCCUACGUUUCAGUCACUGUCUGGUAAAUAUGGUUCAGUACUGGGAAUGUUCCCUAUGUUUCAGUCAGUACUGGGAAUGUUCCCUAUGUUUCAGUCAGUACUGGGAAUGUUCCCUAUGUUUCAGUCAGUACUGGGAAUGUUCCCUACGUUUCAGUCAGUGUCUGGUAAAUAUGGUUCUGUACUGGGAAUGUUCCCUACGUUUCAGUCACUGUCUGGUAAAUAUGGUUCUGUACUGGGAAUGUUCCCUACGUUUCAGUCACUGUCUGGUAAAUAUGAUUCAGUACUGGGAAUGUUCCCUACGUUUCAGUCACUGUCUGGUAAAUAUGGUUCAGUACUGGGAAUGUUCCCUAUGUUUCAGUCAGUACUGGGAAUGUUCCCUAUGUUUCAGUCAGUACUGGGAAUGUUCCCUAUGUUUCAGUCAGUACUGGGAAUGUUCCCUAUGUUUCAGUCAGUACUGGGAAUGUUCCCUACGUUUCAGUCAGUGUCUGGUAAAUAUGGUUCUGUACUGGGAAUGUUCCCUACGUUUCAGUCACUGUCUGGUAAAUAUGGUUCUGUACUGGGAAUGUUCCCUACGUUUCAGUCACUGUCUGGUAAAUAUGAUUCAGUACUGGGAAUGUUCCCUACGUUUCAGUCACUGUCUGGUAAAUAUGAUUCAGUACUGGGAAUGUUCCCUACGUUUCAGUCAGUACUGGGAAUGUUCCCUACAUUUCAGUCAGUACUGGGAAUGUCCCCUACGGUUCAGUCACUGUCUGGUAAAUAUGGUUUAGUACUGGGAAUGUUCCCUACGUUUCAGUCACUGUCUGGUAAAUAUGAUUCAGUACUGGGAAUGUUCCCUACGUUUCAGUCAGUACUGGGAAUGUUCCCUACAUUUCAGUCAGUACUGGGAAUGUUCCCUACGUUUCAGUCACUGUCUGGUAAAUAUGGUUUAGUACUGGGAAUGUCCCCUACGUUCCAGUCACUGCCUGGUAAAUAUGAUUCAGUACUGGGAAUGUUCCCUACGUUUCAGUCACUGUCUGGUAAAUAUGGUUCAGUACUGGGAAUGUUCCCUACGUUCCAGUCAGUGUCUGAUAAAUAUGAUUCAGGGAGUGUUUCCUAGAAUAUGUUUUUUCAGAGUGAAGUGGCCUCCAACAGUACUUGUAUUGAAGCCUGUUAUGCAAAACAAUAUUUUAUAUGGUAGGCAUUUAUGGGCUUAGAAAUUAUUUUUGAAGCAUCUGUGAAGGGCUUAUGAAGGCUCUAUGAAUGGUCUUUAAAGCCUUUAUAAUUGAGACCUGAUCUUUUUUCCCAUAUUCUCAGAUAAACAUUUUGUUUAAAAGAAUCACGAGUUCCAGAUUUUGUCCCUGCAUGUGAAUAUUAUCUCAUUAUAUUCCUGGUAAUAAUCACUGUAUUUUACAGCUGUUAUGUUCUGCCAAAGUCACUAUUAGUUCUCCUCCCCAGUAAGUGUCUAACUGUCCUCAGGCCUCCAGCUGCUGAGCACCAUGACCCUGUGUGUCCUGACACAGCUAGUCCAACAGAGAGCUCUGUUUUUGGGCCAGGCUCCAGCUCCCUGACUCCUGGGAGGUCUCUCUCUUCCAGACCUCCACUGAUCCCACAUAGCAAAAGGAUUUUUAAUAAUGUUCGCUCUCUGUGUGUGUGUGUGUGUGUGUG
Molecule: long non-coding RNA, 1739 nt
Filed under: Salmo salar (Atlantic salmon)
Lineage: Eukaryota; Metazoa; Chordata; Actinopteri; Salmoniformes; Salmonidae
Description: lncRNA (ENSSSAG00000113945.1)
Source: RNAcentral